Molecule: ribosomal RNA, 283 nt
Filed under: uncultured bacterium
Lineage: Bacteria
Description: partial 16S ribosomal RNA
Rfam family: Bacterial small subunit ribosomal RNA
Source: RNAcentral
UUCCGGCCGUGUAUGAUGACGGCCUUAGGAUUGUAAAGUACUUUCAGCGGGGAGGAAGGUGUUAUGAUUAAUACGCUUAUAAAUUGACGUUACCCUCAUAAAAAGCCCCGGCUAACUCCGUGCCAGCAGCCGCGGUAAUACGGAGGGUGCAAGCGUUAAUCGGAAUUACUGGGCGUAAAGCGCACGCAGGCGGUCUAUUAAGUCAGAUGUGAGAGCCCCGAGCUUAACUUGGGAAUUGCAUCUGAAACUGGUUGGCUAGAGUCGUGUAAAGGGGGGUUGAAUU